This 497-nucleotide ribosomal RNA is filed under the name uncultured bacterium. Its description in RNAcentral is "partial 16S ribosomal RNA". It matches the Rfam family "Bacterial small subunit ribosomal RNA", at positions 28 to 507 of the family's 1533-position model. The record is from RNAcentral.
GAUGAACGCUGGCGGCGUGCCUAAUACAUGCAAGUCGAGCGAACAGACGAGGAGCUUGCUCCUUCGACGUUAGCGGCGGACGGGUGAGUAACACGUAGGUAACCUACCUAUAAGACUGGGAUAACUUCGGGAAACCGGAGCUAAUACCGGAUAAUAUUUCGAACCGCAGGGUUCAAUAGUGAAAGAUGGCUUUGCUAUCACUUCUAGAUGGACCUGCGCCGUAUUAGCUAGUUGGUAAGGUAACGGCUUACCACGGCAACGAUACGUAGCCGACCUGAGAGAGUGAUCGGCCACACUGGAACUGGGACACGGUCCAGACGCCUACGGGAGGCAGCAGUAGGGAACCGGCCGCAGUGGGCGGAAGCCUGACAGAGCGGCGCCACGUGUGUGAUGAAGGUCUUCGGAUCGUAAAACUCGGUUAUUAGGUAAAAACAAACGUGUAAUGAACUGUACACGUCGUGACGGUACCUAGUCAGAAAGCAACGGCUAACUACGUG